CAGUUGGCAUUUAUGUUUGUACGUUUUUAAUUAUAUUCUUUGAUCUCGUGGAUUGUUUCCUUAUUACAGAGUAUUUUCUCUCCCUCCUAAAGCGCGCUAGUCUAUGUGGACACUGCAAUACCACUUGUUCACACGUAGAGGGCACUAGUAUCGAGUCAGACGUAGUCAUUAUUCAUUUAAUCACGGUUUCUCAUAUUUAAAAAAAAUAAAAUAAAAUAAAAAAAAAUACCCCCAACUCCGGUACCUAACUCGUUCCACAGUUAGCAUCUGUGCCACGGACAUGAAUUCAUACCUGGAUACCGUAAAUGUUGCAGCGUAUUGAACAGAGGUUUGCCUGACAUUUUCCUAUUGCGUGUCUGAAUCCCCUCUUUCUUCAUAAUAUUCACACUUUUUCUACUUUUGAGUUAUCGGUUCUCCCGAUAAGGUCUACCGAUAAGUGCCGCUAUUUGGUGAGGAUCUAAAGAAUAGCACCCACAAGGAAGCAACAGCUUUCACAGAAUGCCUUGCAGGCCUGGUUUUCACCACAUCAGGAUACAGGGCUGCUGGCUUAAUUCCGGUAUGAAACGGAGCGCUGGUGCACCGCAAUGUGUGUGUCAUACAUAUGCACAUCCCUCUUCAGACAGAGGGACAGGUGCUGUAACGGACACUUGCUUUUGCUCACAUGUUACAUUCGUUAAGUGCAGCCACUCCGAGUGCAACCAAUUACUUUCAUGUCACACACACGAACUUUAUACACACCGAUUCACUCUGUGCAGGUAAUUACCAGAGCAACAUCUCACCUAAUAGAGAGAUGCUUUAGAGUGUAAAAUUGUUAAAAGAAAAUGGUGUAUAUCUUGGGAUGCCAGUAGCAGUUCUUCGUAAAGGCCCAUUAAAGGUGAAUUAGCCAAAGCUAGUAUAAAUGGUUAGGAAGUGCUAGCAUUGGACAUUGUUCAUGAGCAUUGUAUUCUAAGAUAUUUCAAAAGCGAUGUCACUUUGCAACUUUAUUCUGACUUUAAUUGAAUGUGUAUACCUUUAAGUUAGAGAAUAGGUCUCACUUAUUUCUAACAAUUAAAAAGUGACAAUUUGCAAGAUCAUGAGCAAAUUUACUGCUAUCUAUUAACAUAGUGCCAUAUUAAACAAUUGUAUCAGUGUUUUGAUUGUGUAAGUGCAAGGCAGUUGGACAUAAGAAACAUAAUAUGAAAGUAAGCUUAAAAAAAAGGUGUUUUAGUGAGCGAAGGGGACAAGAUUGACUCAAAUCUUGAGGUAUAUUUUUAUAUACAAUGGAAUUGGGUGAUACUCAAUGGUUGUUCCCCAAUCUUUAUUAUGUUAAGCCAUAAUGGACUUCAAUUAAGAAUCUGCUGAGAUGGCACU
Long non-coding RNA from Megalobrama amblycephala (Wuchang bream), 1350 nucleotides. RefSeq lists it as uncharacterized. The transcript is spliced from 4 exons. NCBI's taxonomy places the organism in Eukaryota, Metazoa, Chordata, Actinopteri, Cypriniformes, Xenocyprididae. The record is from RefSeq and is a predicted model, not a curated record.